This 207-nucleotide ribosomal RNA is filed under the name uncultured bacterium. RNAcentral describes it as "partial 16S ribosomal RNA". It matches the Rfam family "Bacterial small subunit ribosomal RNA", at positions 1281 to 1500 of the family's 1533-position model. The record is from RNAcentral.
GACGUCCCUAGUUCGGAUUGUAGGCUGAAACUCGCCUACAUGAAGCUGGAAUUGCUAGUAAUCACAGGUCAGCAUACUGUGGUGAAUACGUUCCCGGGCCUUGUACACACCGCCCGUCACACCAUGAGAGUUGAGAAUACCCGAAGCCCAUGUCUAAAGUGGUCGAAGGUAGGCUUGAUGAUUGGGGUGAAGUCGUAACAAGGUACC